Non-coding RNA from Ancylostoma duodenale, 80 nucleotides. The record is from Rfam. Lineage: Eukaryota; Metazoa; Nematoda; Chromadorea; Rhabditida; Ancylostomatidae.
GAAAUCUGAAUAAACUACUCAGGGCCUUUAAUAAGACCCUUUGUACUAAUUUUUGGGAACCUCUGCUCAGGUAGAGGUUA